UGGCUCAGUGGUUAAGAGCACUGACUGCUCUUCCAGAGUACCUGGGUUCAAUUCCCAG
This 58-nucleotide transfer RNA is filed under the name Neotoma lepida (desert woodrat). The record is from Rfam by way of RNAcentral. Lineage: Eukaryota; Metazoa; Chordata; Mammalia; Rodentia; Cricetidae.